UAUACAUUUAACCUGAUUAGCCAGCAUUCUAAUACUUUCUAAGUUCUAUGGUUAUUUCUACAGGAUAAAGGAGUUGGCUAUUGGCGCUUUGCUUGUGUUUUAGCUUUCCCUUGGAGGCCUAUCUUGUCUGCCACAGGCUACACAGAGUAUUACUAUGAUGUUGAAUCUGGAAAAAUAUGCAGGCACGUUGAGCAUUGGAAUGUUCCAAAAAUGGUUCUGUUGAAGCAAAUUUUCAAGCCGAACCCAGGGUUAUGGCGUAAAUGAAAUGACUCUUGUGGAUCUGAUGGACAUAUCCUGUAUAUAAAAAAACCAUCCACUAAUGUAACUCUAUGUAUAACAAUACAGCACUGAAUUUUAUUACUAUAGAAACAAAUGGAGAAGGCUUCAUUAGACUCUGACAAUGUAUAAGCUUAAACUUAAAGGAGACCCGAUUUUAUGAUUUUCGAGCUAAUACAGUACUCUUGCGGUCAUCAACUAAAAAUUCAUAUUCAGGCUCGUAGCCUCCCUCUUAUUUCUUAUAUUUGUAAGAGCAAGAUAUAGAAAAUUUAAUAAGCAUAUAGGAGAAUGUCCGUUGCCCUCUUUCA
This is a long non-coding RNA of Cryptomeria japonica (Japanese cedar), 584 nucleotides long. RefSeq lists it as uncharacterized. The record is from RefSeq and is a predicted model, not a curated record. The transcript is spliced from 3 exons. NCBI's taxonomy places the organism in Eukaryota, Viridiplantae, Streptophyta, Pinopsida, Cupressales, Cupressaceae.